GCGCAUUAGCGAUAGUAGCGGCAUCCUUUUUUAUGCGAUAAGUCAUUAAGCAUUAAAAAGAUAUAGCGAAAAGCGCGGUCCUUU
Molecule: small RNA, 84 nt
Filed under: Bizionia paragorgiae
Lineage: Bacteria; Pseudomonadati; Bacteroidota; Flavobacteriia; Flavobacteriales; Flavobacteriaceae
Description: Flavo-1 RNA
Rfam family: Flavo-1 RNA
Source: Rfam by way of RNAcentral